GAGGGUAUAGCUCAGUGGUAGAGUGCAUGUGUAGCAUGCAUGAGGUCCUAGGGACAAUCCCCAGUACCUCCA
Molecule: transfer RNA, 72 nt
Filed under: Camelus ferus (Wild Bactrian camel)
Lineage: Eukaryota; Metazoa; Chordata; Mammalia; Artiodactyla; Camelidae
Rfam family: tRNA
About the family: Transfer RNA (tRNA) molecules are approximately 80 nucleotides in length.
Source: Rfam by way of RNAcentral